This 315-nucleotide ribosomal RNA is filed under the name uncultured bacterium. RNAcentral describes it as "bacterial SSU rRNA". It matches the Rfam family "Bacterial small subunit ribosomal RNA", at positions 43 to 356 of the family's 1533-position model. The record is from RNAcentral.
UCAGGCCUAACACAUGCAAGUCGAACGAUGAAGCUGGAGCUUGCUCCGGUGGGUUAGUGGCGAACGGGUGAGUAACACGUGAGCAAUCUGCCCUUGACUCUGGGAUAACUGCGGGAAACUGUAGCUAAUACCGGAUAUGAGGCUUGGAGGCAUCUCCAGGCCUGGAAAGAAUUUCGGUCAAGGAUGAGCUCGCGGCCUAUCAGCUAGUUGGUGAGGUAAUGGCUCACCAAGGCGACGACGGGUAGCCGGCCUGAGAGGGGGGCCGGCCACACUGGGACUGAGACACGGCCCAGACUCCUACGGGAGGCAGCAGUG